This 254-nucleotide ribosomal RNA is filed under the name uncultured bacterium. Its description in RNAcentral is "partial 16S ribosomal RNA". It matches the Rfam family "Bacterial small subunit ribosomal RNA", at positions 524 to 776 of the family's 1533-position model. The record is from RNAcentral.
UACGUAGGGUUCAAGCGUUAUCCGGAAUCACUGGGCGUAAAGCGUGCGUAGGUGGCGUGUUAAGUGCAAUGCGAAAUCCUGUGGCUCAACCAUAUGGACUGUAUUGCAUACUGGCAUGCUAGAGGACGGCAGAGGCAAGUGGAAUUACCGGUGUAGCAGUGAAAUGCGUAGAUAUCUGGAGGAACACCGGUGGCGAAGGCGGCGUCCUGGACCAACACUGACACUGAUGAGCGAAAGCCAGGGGAGCAAACGGG